Molecule: ribosomal RNA, 474 nt
Filed under: uncultured bacterium
Lineage: Bacteria
Description: bacterial SSU rRNA
Rfam family: Bacterial small subunit ribosomal RNA
Source: RNAcentral
GAUGAACGCUGGCGGCGUGCCUAAUACAUGCAAGUCGAACGCUUCACUUCGGUGAAGAGUGGCGAACGGGUGAGUAGUACAUAAGUAACCUGGCAUCUACAGGGGGAUAACUGAUGGAAACGUCAGCUAAGACCGCAUAGGUGUAGAGAUCGCAUGAACUCUAUAUGAAAAGUGCUACGGGACUGGUAGAUGAUGGACUUAUGGCGCAUUAGCUUGUUGGUAGGGUAACGGCCUACCAAGGCGACGAUGCGUAGCCGACCUGAGAGGGUGACCGGCCACACUGGGACUGAGACACGGCCCAGACUCCUACGGGAGGCAGCAGUAGGGAAUUUUCGGCAAUGGGGGAAACCCUGACCGAGCAACGCCGCGUGAAGGAAGAAGUAAUUCGUUAUGUAAACUUCUGUCAUAGAGGAAGAACGGUGGAUAUAGGGAAUGAUAUCCAAGUGACGGUACUCUAUAAGAAAGCCACGGCUA